This 2255-nucleotide long non-coding RNA is filed under the name Mytilus galloprovincialis (Mediterranean mussel). The record is from RNAcentral. Lineage: Eukaryota; Metazoa; Mollusca; Bivalvia; Mytilida; Mytilidae.
CUUUAAUGGGAGAUAACUCAGAUAUAUUUUUUCUGUUUGAACCUACCACAAUAUAUAUAAAACUAUUUAUGGAUUCCAUAAAGAUAUGCCUGUAUCUUUGAGAUGAGUGCUGGGUUAAAUUAUAUAUAAGCUGCUGCAUAGAAUAGACAUUGAUCUUAUGCAAAUGAAUAUCAAUACAUCUGUUAUCCUUAACUUAACCCAUAGGUGUAUUUGGGUAACUGUAGGCGGCCUUAUAUCCAACAAAGCUCAUAUGCUAAAAGUGAAAUUUUUCUGCUUGCUUAUAUUAGGUUUUUAGUGUGUACUAUGUCUCAUUUGGGUGUUUCUUAUAUUUAUUUAUUUAUUCAGUGCUUAUAAUUAUUUUUUUUGUUAUGUGCCUAUUUAUAAACUUUUACUGAACAGUUGAUUUUUUUAAGACAUUUUGUCAGCAUGAAAUAAAUUUAAUCAUGUUAAAAAGUGUUACAGUUAGGACUUUUCUAUUCAAAUCUAUGUAGGUGGGGAGAAGGGUUGUUCAAUCAAAAGCUUUGUAGUGGGGAGCAAGGGCUAUUCAACUAAAAGCAAUGUAGUGGAGAGGAAGGACUUUUCAAUUAAAAGUGAUGUUAUGAGAAGCUAUAACUGUGGAUUCAUUUAUUUUCGUGGGUAUCAAUUUUCGUGGAUUGAGGAAAACCAGCAUUUUCGUGGGUAUUUGAUUUCGUGGUUUUGUCAAUCUCUGCAUAUAAAGCCUACAGAAAAAGUGUAUUUCGUUGAACAUUUGAAUUCGUGGUUCCCCUGUACCCAUGAAAACCACGAAAACUGGUAUCCAACGAAAAAUAAUGAAUCCACAGUACAUUAAAACAAUGCAAUGGUGAGGAAGGGCUAUUCCAUUUUAAGAAAUGUAGUACAGAUGAAUGACUAUUCCAUUAAAAGCAAUGUAGUGACCAGGAAGUGCUAUUUCAUUAAUAGCAAUGUAGUGGGGAGUAAGGACUAUUCCAUUAAAAGCAAUUAAGUAAACAGGAAGUGCUAUUUCAUUGAUAACAAUGUAGUGGGGAGCAAUGACUAUUCCAUUAAAAUUGAUGUAGGUGUGAAGUAAGAGAAGUUUUCUACUUUUACCUGUAUUACUGACCAUUUUAUAAAUGUUUAUCACUUAAUGUGAGCAAAAAUACUCUAAGAAAGUAUGUUGGAUGUUGAAAAACUUGAAAAAUCUCUUCAUGUCUUUGCACAUCCAUUUAAAUGACAUCUAUAAGACAUGUCUUAAUACCUCAUAUGCUUAAAUAUCCCUAUGGAAAUUUUGAAAGUUGGAAAAAGUUAUGAAUUAUGUCAUGGGACCAAGAUCUCAUUUUCAGUUGUUUAGUUUAGUUUACAGAUGAAGGUAUAUUCAUUAUUUAUCAUGCAUGAGAGUUCAUCAAUAUUUCAGAGGUUAGUUUGUUGGAAGAAGUCAGACUUAUGUUAUACUGUAUGUCUGACCUCAAUUCAAUUUCAUGCUUGAAUGGUACUUGUAUGUUGCUUUUUGCAUGGUAUAAUUUAUUUCUGCCCCUAUCGAACACAUCCUCAUUUUCAGUUGCAUUGGAAAUUCCUGCUUUUCAUUAAUGUUGAUAUACUCUGCAAAAACUAUAUAUUAUAAAUACAUUCUCAUCCUAACUAUAUAUAAAUAAACCUGACAUAUUUGUCACUGUGUUGAGCAAGCAGCAAUCAAUCAAACACCUCAAUUGUCAAAGUUCUCAAAGUUUUUAUUUGUCUAAAAAUAAGGAGAUGUAGUAUUAUUAUCAAUAAGACAAUUGUUAACCGGGGGUCUCAUUGGGGGGUUCCGAUCCAGGAUCCCGCUUACUGUUUUGUCAGAUUCCCCUAUCCCGCUUACACUAUGUACGUAAGCAAUUCUCAUUUUUUGUCAUUUCCCGGGUCCCGCAAGACCUCAUUUCCCGUUGUCACGCCACAAUAAUUUGACUUUCACGUGUCACGCUUACAAAAAAUCGGCAAUCCCUCGUCACGCUUAGACCCCAAUGAGACCCACUUAACCAGAGUUCAAAUGAGGUAAAUGUAAGCAAGUAUAGCAAUAGGCAACCAUACAGCCUUCAACAAUGAGAAAACCCUUAUGACAAACCAACUACAACCACUAAAGUACAGUCUCCUUGGUCUGUUGCUAUUAAACUGUGUGUGAUAGGCAUACAUCAUAUGGUGUAAGAAUUCCUACAAGAUUACAUGAAAUUUUUUAUCUUUACCCCCAGUUUUUAGAAAUUUUUGACCUUUUGUUAAGUAUUCAAGUAUUACAACCUAGUGUUCCC